Molecule: long non-coding RNA, 2164 nt
Organism: Meleagris gallopavo (turkey)
Lineage: Eukaryota; Metazoa; Chordata; Aves; Galliformes; Phasianidae
Source: Ensembl
AUGGUACGAGAAGCCAAGCAGAAGGUUGCUGUAUUAGGAUGCGUAGAGUGGAGAGGAAAACCAGAAUCCUUUCUCAGGUCGUGUGAGAGACUUCCAGAAGCUGCAGCAAAGCAAUCAGUGAGCACGCAGCAUUGUACUGGGCAGAAUCAGCAUCCUCCAUCGUACGUUAGAAGGCACUGCAGGAAGAAAGCUGCUGGUGAUACAUCCUGGCUGGACUGGUGGGGAUCUGUGGCUUCAAAGCAUGAGGAAUUCAUCUGCUGUAUGGUUCUGCUCACUGGGAAGUUGCACAUGGCUAUGAUAUAUAGCACAGAACUGAUUGUGAAGCUUCUACAUGACCGUGACAUUUUUCCAGUGUACCAGCACUGAAAAAAGUUUCAAUUCAAGUGUGAAUUUAAGAGCUAGGUGAAAGAACAUGUUCCUUUUCGCACCAGGGAAGAUCAGUCAAUAAAAACAGAUUAAAUGAAACAUUAAGUGCAGCACUCCCAAGCACAAGAAAAAUGAUGCCAAGAUCAAAAAAGAGUAUCUCAUUUCAGAAAUACCUCCCUUCCUCUCCACAGUUAGAUGCAAUCGCAGAGCAGAACGUAACUAAAAGGAUUCCGAGCAUCCAUCAAAGAGAACAGCACCCCAGAUCAGAGCUGGGAAAGGACUGUUCCCUUCUUCCUCCAAAACAUUUCAUUAUCUACAUUCCUGAUUGAUUAGGAGAUCCCUUUUUAGAGAGGAUGGAGGACAUCCAACAGGCACGUGUGCCUCCAGGUGCCUCCUGCACAGACCUUUCCAUGCACAUCUAUUCUAGGUUCACAACACCCACUGUAAAUCUCCCCCUUCUUCCACCUCAGCUUGUAUAAGCUGCUACCUACCCACUCUUUUAGAUUAUGCAUAGCAACAUGAUGGAGAAAACAGAAACAGAGAGUUUGGGGAUGAUUUCCCUCCCUCCACUCUUUGUUUGGUUUUCUGGAACUAUUUCAUCCCAAACAUUUGUAAAUAGUGCCUGGAGUUACAUUCCGAGUUCCAGCAGUAAACACUAAACUAGCUAAUAUAUAUAGACAGAUCUCUGCUCUUCCAGUGUAUCCAGGCAACUCUGCAACACAAAGUUAAAGCACAGCUAUUUGUUCAAAAAGUGUUUUCACAGCUAUUUCCUCUUCCCCCCCCUUGACUUUUUCCACUAGGCGCUACUUGUAUUUAUCAUCUGGAGAUUCGGUUCCCUUUUUCCCUUUUAAAAUCCAUGCAAAAACUCAUUUUAAGAGUGGCAAGGCACAGACAUUUGCUUUGCAAUGAACUUUGAUUUAGGGCAUGAAGAAGGAAGGAAAAAGAGUAAAAAUUCCACAAGAGCACCUGAACGUUACUCCUCUCAAACAUACUUGUAACUCUGGAAACAAAAUCAUUUCCAAAUGCUAAUACCAUAGGAACACAGAAGUAUUUACACAGAUACUAAAGCAAGCAGGAAAGGCAGCUUGUUGUAUCCCACCUAACAGUAGUUGAAGUUCCCUCAGAGAACAUAGGUUAGGUUGAACUGUUGUUUUUCCAAAGGAAAACAUCAAUUUUUAUUAAAUUUUCCUAUUGAGAAAGCUUUGGAGCAAAGCCAGCAUCUCAAAAUGAAGUGUUUUACAUUUCAAAAUGUCAAUUCAAAAUGAAAAUAGUUACUUUGAUAUAUUGAGUUUAUUUUCAUAGAAAAUGUUGGUGUUUUAUGUUGAUACGGCAAUCUUCUGUAGGGAACCUGCUUCAGAAGGGGGUUGGACUAGAUGACCUCCAGAGGUCCCUUCCAAUCCCUAUAACAAUGUGAUACUUAUUUGAAAAAUCUCUUUGGAAUAUCGUUUUUCUGUUAUAUAGUUCAAAAUUUCACCUUUUUGCUUCCUACUCUGAUUAGAAACCUAUAUUCCUACUGUUAAAGCUUUCUGCUGUAGUAAAAAGUCUAUUUGCUGAACAUUCCCUGCACUAAGUGCUAUUUUCUUUUCAUUUAGUGCUCUACAGCAGAUAGCUGAAGAGUUUCUUUUAAUCUGAAUAGUACUGAAAUAUUCACUUUAAAAAAACCCACAGAAAUCUUUAUCACUUUCAGCCUUUGGGGUAGAGGAGGGAAGGAGAAAAAAUAAGGAAAAUUAUCUGAAGAUUCUCAUGCCAUUUUUCAGACUGUAACCUCGGUUCUUUCCAACUAUCUGCAGCUACACAG